RNAcentral lists this ribosomal RNA (262 nucleotides) under uncultured bacterium. Its description in RNAcentral is "partial 16S ribosomal RNA". It matches the Rfam family "Bacterial small subunit ribosomal RNA", at positions 99 to 354 of the family's 1533-position model. The record is from RNAcentral.
CGAACGGGUGAGUAACACGUGGGCAACUUGCCCAAAAGAGGGGGAGUAACACUUGGAAACAGGUGCUAAUACCGCAUAACCAUAGUUACCGCAUGGUAACUAUGUAAAAGGUGGCUAUGCUACCGCUUUUGGAUGGGCCCGCGGCGCAUUAGCUAGUUGGUGGGGUAAAGGCUUACCAAGGCAAUGAUGCGUAGCCGAACUGAGAGGUUGAUCGGCCACAUUGGGACUGAGACACGGCCCAAACUCCUACGGAAGGCAGCAG